GAUGAACGCUAGCUGCAGGCUUAACACAUGCAAGUCGAGGGGUAACGAGAGGAAAGCUUGCUUUCCUCGUCGACGACCGGCGCACGGGUGAGUAACGCGUAUCCAACCUGCCCCCAACUAAGGAAUAACCUUGCGAAAGUAAGACUACUACCGUAUACUUUCCUCAGAUGUCAUCUGACGAGGAAUAAAGAUUUAUCGGCUGCGGAUGGGGAUGCGUCGGAUUAGCUUGUUGGCGGGGUAACUGCCCACCAAGGCAGCGAUCAGUAGAGGUUCCGAGAGGAAGGUCCCCCACAUUGGAACUGAGACACGGUCCAAACUCCUACGGGAGGCAGCAGUGAAGAAUAUUGGUCAAUGGGCGAAAGCCUGAACCAGACAAGUAGCGUGCAGGAUGACGGCCCUAUGGGUUGUAAACUGCUUUUAUACAGGAAUAAAGUUAGCCACGUGUGGUUAUUUGUAGGUACUGUAUGAAUAAGGACCGGCUAAUUCCGUGCCAGCCGCCGCGGUAA
Molecule: ribosomal RNA, 506 nt
Filed under: uncultured bacterium
Lineage: Bacteria
Description: partial 16S ribosomal RNA
Rfam family: Bacterial small subunit ribosomal RNA
Source: RNAcentral